This 257-nucleotide ribosomal RNA is filed under the name uncultured bacterium. RNAcentral describes it as "partial 16S ribosomal RNA". It matches the Rfam family "Bacterial small subunit ribosomal RNA", at positions 96 to 353 of the family's 1533-position model. The record is from RNAcentral.
UGGCGGACGGGUGAGUAAUGUCUGGGAAACUGCCUGAUGGAGGGGGAUAACUACUGGAAACGGUAGCUAAUACCGCAUAACGUCGCAAGACCAAAGAGGGGGACCCUCGGGCCUCUUGCCAUCGGGAUGUGCCCAGAUGGGAUUAGCUUGUUGGUGGGGUAACGGCUCACCAAGGCGACGAUCCCUAGCUGGUCUGAGAGGAUGACCAGCCACACUGGAACUGAGACACGGUCCAGACUCCUACGGGAGGCAGCAUG